UAGGGAAUCUUCCACAAUGGACGAAAGUCUGAUGGAGCAACGCCGCGUGAGUGAAGAAGGGUUUCGGCUCGUAAAACUCUGUUGUUAAAGAAGAACACGUAUGAGAGUAACUGUUCAUACGUUGACGGUAUUUAACCAGAAAGUCAUGGCUAACUACGUGCCAG
Molecule: ribosomal RNA, 164 nt
Filed under: uncultured bacterium
Lineage: Bacteria
Description: partial 16S ribosomal RNA
Rfam family: Bacterial small subunit ribosomal RNA
Source: RNAcentral